UUAUAGUGGCUAUGUUACAUGGGAAUGAUUAAUGUUUAAUGUUUAAUUUAUUAAUGAUUAAUGUUUGCAAUAAACAUUAAUCAUUCCUGUGUAACAUAGCCACUAUAAUC
Molecule: non-coding RNA, 110 nt
Organism: Paramuricea clavata
Lineage: Eukaryota; Metazoa; Cnidaria; Anthozoa; Malacalcyonacea; Plexauridae
Source: the annotation of a GenBank genome assembly